This 76-nucleotide transfer RNA is filed under the name Candidatus Pullichristensenella avicola. Its description in RNAcentral is "tRNA-Phe". It matches the Rfam family "tRNA". Rfam says of the family: Transfer RNA (tRNA) molecules are approximately 80 nucleotides in length. Lineage: Bacteria; Bacillati; Bacillota; Clostridia. The record is from RNAcentral.
GCCUUGGUAGCUCAGCUGGUAGAGCAGUAGACUGAAAAUCUACGUGUCGGUGGUUCGACUCCGCCCCAAGGCACCA